CGAGUAUGGUUUGAGAAAAAAAUGAAAUAUUUGAACCUUAAUAUGAGCGAACACUGGUCUGCUCGAGUUCGACUAGUGUAUCAUUAAACAGAAAACGAGUAUGGAUCAGAUUCGACUCGGGUCAACUUCGAAUUCGAGCUUUGGAUCAUAUUUUCGAGUCGAUCUCGAGUCGAGUACCGAACUACUUGGCUCGGUUAUCACCCCUAUACAAAAUCCAUAAAAUAAAUUACACCUUAAACCUCAAAUGCUUGAUUUCAACUCAAUUUGGUGAAUUUGAAAAGAACUCCAUCAAGAUUCACAAUAUCAAAUUUAGAAAGUUUCCAUAGCAUAGCAAAAGGAAAAUAAAAAAAAACUUAUUGCAGAGAACAAAAGUAGUCUCUAUAUAGUAUAAGGAUUGAAUUGUUGCCAUUAACAGAAAACAAUUAUUAAAUAUAAAAAAACAUGUUAUACAUGCAGAAGAGACAAUAAAAUGAACAGAAAAAACCCAAUUACUGAAAUGAAAAGACUUAUAUUCUAAAAUACUUGUAUGAUAAUCUAAAACUUGAGUUGGGUGGAAGAGAGUCCCACGUGGUCUAAAAACCCUCUCUUGCCUACCUCUAUUCUAUAAAAUAAAAGACACUUCAAGUCAAUGAUAAUUAACCUGAAAGUUUGAAGGGGAUGCUUGGCAUAGCUAGGCCCGGCCUUGACCUGUCUUGGGUCUGACCUGAUCAACAGGCCCUGUCAGACUAUGUCUUUUACUUAAUUAUCUGGCCCAACCUUUUAUCAUUUGAGCUUCGGCUCCGUCUGCUUAAUGGUCAAAGCUUGACAAGCUUUGAUGCAUAACAAAUAAAUAUUAUGAAUCAUUCUCCAUAUAUAUAUAUAUAUAUAUAUAUAUAUAUAUAUAUAUAUAUAUAUAUAUAUAGAGAGAGAGAGAANNNNNNNNNNNNNNNNNNNNNNNNNNNNNNNNNNNNNNNNNNNNNNNNNNNNNNNNNNNNNNNNNNNNNNNNNNNNNNNNNNNNNNNNNNNNNNNNNNNNUUUUUGAUGUUGUGUCACAUGUAACUGCCUUUCUCUCUCCUAUAUUUUAAUUUAUCCCUAGAAUCUCUCACAUUUUCUCACACAUGCUAUAAUUUUUUUAUUGCACACACUGUGUGCCACCAAUAAUAGUAUAUAUAAUGUAGUAAGAAGUGUGUACAAUUAUUUUAAAAAAUUAUUCUUUAAAUUUUUCCAUAAAUUUCACAAAAUUUUAAAGUAAAUAUCAAUAAUAAUAACUAGCACAAUGAUGAAAUAUUCAUUCUAAAAUAGAUUAAAAGGUCGUAUUGGGCGAUCAAUGUAAUUUACUUAUAGGGCAAAGGUCCAAAAAUGCCCCUGAUGUUUACCCCGAUUUUUCACUUACACCUUAAAUUAUUAUUUUUUUUAAAAGUACACUCAACGUUACAAAUUUUGGCUCAACUAUGCCCCUCCCGUCAACGGAUCUGCCACUUAGAUAAAUGUGGCUGACUAGGCUGGACACAUGGCAAAAAUAAAAUUUAAUAAUAAUUUUUUAUUAUUUUCUCUUUCUCCUCCCUCUUUUCUCUCUCUCUCUCCUUUUUUUUUCUUCUCCCUCUUUUCUCUCUCUCUCUUCUAUUUCCUCUGUUCCUUCCUCUGUUCCGUUAUGCAGAUGAUCAUUCAGAUCUGUGCAUCAAUAUUUCCACAAGGCCUACUUAUAGAUGGAUUAUGCAAAUGAAUCCCCCCAUUACAAUAACCUCUCUCUUGCUUCUUUCUUAGCUCCAACACAUAAUCCAUCAGACCAUUUUGACAACUGGGGUCAGAAUAUAGAACAGGGGAAUGACUCCAUGCUGCUUUUUGACAACUGGGGUCAGAAUAAAGCAAGGUUAUUGAUGAAGGCCAGCCACCAUAUAAAUGAUGCAUAUAAAGAGAUGGAAAAUGUAAAGGGUGGCUACAAAAUCCAAGCACUUCUUUGCUCUCUCAAUCAAGUAUAGCAAAUAACCAGCCCUGCACAAACAUUAAAAUUAAAAUUACGAUGCUCUAGAGACAUUUAUUACUUCUUCAUAGUAAUUUCAGCACAAGCAGAAUAGACCAAAAAAUCAAAUCAACACAAACAAUUCAACCUCAGGUAACCCAAACCAUCAACUUUUAAAUAAUUAAACUAGAUAGAAUUAAAGGGCAAUAAUAAUUCAUAUAAUCUCAAAUUCUACUAUUUUUUUCACAAAUACCCAAUUAUUUAAUUUCAAUAACAAUUCAUAAAAUCAACUAACAAAUUCAUGAAACCCACAAAAAUUAUACAAUCAAUUUUCAAGUAGGCCAAUAAAAAAAAUUAAACAGGGGUAUGACAAAUAAAAGUUAAAUUAAAAUUAUGGGUAUCGAAAAGAUUCAAAACCCUCACCUGAUAUCAGCUCCAAUCUCUUAAAUUAAACCCAUCAAAUCUAUUCAAUGAAAUCUAUAAACCCUAACCAAUUUUGAAUUUUUCAAUUACAAGAAGAUAGAGAUUGAGAGGAGAGAGAAAAUAAAUGCGCAACACUUUGUAUACAUCGUAUCUGUGCAAAAAGAUAGACAGAGAGGGAUGACAGUUCCAGAGUUUUUGUCGCUUAAAUCCUAUCGGAAAAUCACCAGCAAAAGAAGAGUUAGUCAAAGAAUGAUGGAAGUUAAUGAAGAGAGGGCUUAGAGAGAGAAUGGGGUGUGGUUAGUGUUUAGAGAGAGAAUAUUUAGUUUAAUGGGUGAGGAUGAGUUGAAAUUUUUAUUUUGUUUUUUGUUUUUGUCAUGUCAGUUAAUUUUAACGUCCGUUUAUCUAGUUGUCAUUUUUUUUAAUGAGAGGGGCAUAGUUGAG
This 2803-nucleotide long non-coding RNA is filed under the name Panax ginseng (ginseng). Its description in RNAcentral is "long non-coding RNA (PGIN_LNC011967)". The record is from RNAcentral. Lineage: Eukaryota; Viridiplantae; Streptophyta; Magnoliopsida; Apiales; Araliaceae.